GCCGGUGUGUCGGAAUUGGCAGACGAGCGCGACUCAAAAUCGUGAGCCGUAAGGCGUGCGGGUUCGAUUCCCGCCACCGGCACCA
This 85-nucleotide transfer RNA is filed under the name Eubacteriales bacterium. RNAcentral's name for it is "tRNA-Leu". It matches the Rfam family "tRNA". Rfam says of the family: Transfer RNA (tRNA) molecules are approximately 80 nucleotides in length. The record is from RNAcentral. Lineage: Bacteria; Bacillati; Bacillota; Clostridia; Eubacteriales.